This 145-nucleotide small RNA is filed under the name Bradyrhizobium diazoefficiens USDA 110. RNAcentral's name for it is "Bradyrhizobium japonicum USDA 110 Alphaproteobacterial sRNA BjrC1505". It matches the Rfam family "Alphaproteobacterial sRNA BjrC1505". The record is from Rfam by way of RNAcentral. Lineage: Bacteria; Pseudomonadati; Pseudomonadota; Alphaproteobacteria; Hyphomicrobiales; Nitrobacteraceae.
AUUCGCUCGUUUACCGUCGAUUAAGCUUUCGGCUUUAUGACUGGAACUGUCCUCGUUUGGACACCGAGUGGCUCCUGUCCACUCUGUUUGACGCCUCCCUGUUAUCAACUUUCAAAGCCGCCGGUCUUCCGGCGGCUCUUUUUUG